AAGACUAUACUUUCAGAGAUGAUUUUUAUCAUUUGUUACUAGAGAAGUUUCUCUGAACAUGUAGAGUGCCUGAAACUAUGAGGAGGGGGUGCAGUGUUUCUUCCUGAAUGUAAAGCUCACUCUUGGUGUUGUCUCUGCAGCUGCCCUUGGUCAUUGAUAAUCAUUCUUCUCCUCCUUUGGGGAAGUAAGAAGGAAAGGACACCAUCGGAGUGGU
Small nucleolar RNA from Hyaena hyaena (striped hyena), 214 nucleotides. RefSeq annotates it as small nucleolar RNA U3. Lineage: Eukaryota; Metazoa; Chordata; Mammalia; Carnivora; Hyaenidae. The transcript has a single exon. The record is from RefSeq and is a predicted model, not a curated record.